AUGGAAGCAGUGGAGUGGCAGUCACAUUCGGCCACGCUUUUCACCUUUGCUGCUGCAUUAUUACAACCAGAUCAGGUCCAUCCUGAUGGAUGGAUGGAUGUCCACCGGAUAAUUGGUAAGCGCGUCCAGAUCAGACCAGGUGCUCUUACCUCGUUUCGCCGCCAGCAUCAUCGAGAGGCUAAGUUUGCCGUUCAUCACAAUGAGAGACAAGUUGGCAAGCCUAAGGAGAUUUUGCCACACUUUCUGUUUGUAUGUCAUGUGGGGCCUAAUGUGGCUUGCCUAAGAUGUGGCUUGGACCAAACACUCAUCUAA
This 312-nucleotide ribosomal RNA is filed under the name Triticum aestivum (bread wheat). RNAcentral describes it as "partial small subunit ribosomal RNA". The record is from RNAcentral. Lineage: Eukaryota; Viridiplantae; Streptophyta; Magnoliopsida; Poales; Poaceae.